Brachypodium distachyon (stiff brome) is the source of this 135-nucleotide non-coding RNA. Lineage: Eukaryota; Viridiplantae; Streptophyta; Magnoliopsida; Poales; Poaceae. The record is from Rfam.
CACCUACUCACUCCGUCCAAUAAAAGAUGUCUCAACUUUGACUAAAUUUGAAUGCAUCUAUACACUAAGUCUUGUUUAGAUACAUCCAAUUUUGACAAAAUUGAGACAUCUUUUGUUGGACGGAGAAAGUAGGUG